This 497-nucleotide ribosomal RNA is filed under the name uncultured bacterium. RNAcentral's name for it is "partial 16S ribosomal RNA". It matches the Rfam family "Bacterial small subunit ribosomal RNA", at positions 28 to 507 of the family's 1533-position model. The record is from RNAcentral.
GAUGAACGCGGGCGGCGUGCCUAAUACAUGCAAGUCGAGCGAACAGACGAGGAGCUUGCUCCUCUGACGUUAGGGGCGGACGGGUGAGUAACACGUGGAUAACCUACCUAUAAGACUGGGAUAACUUCGGGAAACCGGAGCUAAUACCGGAUAAUAUAUUGAACCGCAUGGUUCAAUAGUGAAAGACGGUUUUGCUGUCACUUAUAGAUGGAUCCGCGCCGCAUUAGCUAGUUGGUAGGGUAACGGCUUACCAAGGCAACGAUGCGUAGCCGACCUGAGAGAGGGGUCGCCGGCACGGGAGCGGGGACAGGGACAAGACGCCUGCGGUAGGCAGCAGAAGGGAAUGUGCGGCAGUAGGCGAAAGCCUGACGGAGCGACGGCGCGUGAGAGAUAAAGAUCUUCGGAUCGUAAAACUCUGUUAUGAGGUGAGAACAAAUGUGUAAGGAACUAUACACGUCUUGACGGUACCUGAUCAGAAAGCCACGGCUAACUACGUG